Small nuclear RNA from Rattus norvegicus (Norway rat), 106 nucleotides. Lineage: Eukaryota; Metazoa; Chordata; Mammalia; Rodentia; Muridae. The record is from Ensembl.
GUGCUCAUGGCAGUAGCGCAUAUAGUAAAAUUUGAACGGUACUGAGAAGAUUAGCUGGUCUCUGAGCAAGAACGACACCCAAAUUCAUAACUCAGUGGCUGUUCUU